Engraulis encrasicolus (European anchovy) is the source of this 627-nucleotide long non-coding RNA. RefSeq lists it as uncharacterized. The transcript has 4 exons. The record is from RefSeq and is a predicted model, not a curated record. NCBI's taxonomy places the organism in Eukaryota, Metazoa, Chordata, Actinopteri, Clupeiformes, Engraulidae.
ACAGGUGCUGCAGAUGGACUGCUGUGGGUCUGGGGAUACUGUGUGCUCUGCUGCUGGGGCUCUCCAUAGGACUGGCUGUCUGGCUACUGCCCGAGAGAGAUCAGCUGCUGACCAAUCAAAACAACCUGCUGACCAAUCACAGCAACUUGCUCAAGGAGAGAGAUCAACUGCUGCAAUACAAGCGUUGCUAUGAUGGUUUGGGGCAGAGUUGUCCUACUGGAUGGGAUGUCUUCGAGUGCAACUGUUACCACAACACACGUCAUGUUAUAAGUUGGUCUGCCAGCAGGAAGUACUGCCAGUCUCUUGGAGGAGACCUGGUGGUCAUCAACAGCCCAGAGGAGCAGUGGUUUAUAACUGCAAAGAAAUACGGUGGCUGGAUUGGAUUGACGAAGCGGGAGAGUGGAAGUUGGCGAUGGAUCGAUAACACAACUAUCUCCACAUGGUACUGGAACCCUACCCGCCGUGACUCUGCUGCAACUGGGUGUGCGGCCAUCCAUCAGUCCACCACCACCAAUAAUACCUGGUGCUAUUACAACUGUGCCAGCAGUGGGCAUUGGUCCAUCUGUGAGAAGUCAGCCUUCGCCACGGCUUGACAUUAGCAUUUGAAGAGCACGGAUGCAAAGAUAC